RNAcentral lists this ribosomal RNA (687 nucleotides) under Triticum aestivum (bread wheat). RNAcentral describes it as "partial small subunit ribosomal RNA". Lineage: Eukaryota; Viridiplantae; Streptophyta; Magnoliopsida; Poales; Poaceae. The record is from RNAcentral.
AUGUCCGAUGUCAUGGAUGAAGGUUUAUGGUGCGAGCGGGUGUUUAGAGACCAUCAACUCUCUGUGGUGCGUCUCCAUACCGCUACUGACAAUGUUUUUCAAGGCAAUGACUUUAUUGUCAGCAACAAUAAAACCAUCUGUGACAUAGUAUCAUGUCAACAUGUCGUCAAGAUGCUUCCCGUGGGUGGAACAAUGGCUGUUUAUUUCUUCAACUCCGACGGAUUGAUCCCACGCCGAUACAAUGCAAGAAUAAUUCGUACUGAUGAGGGUCGGGAUCUUGCUUGGCUGCGGGCUCAAGAUGUCUAUGAACCAGUGACUUGUCUGAGGUUCUUCGACCCACCAUAUGCUUCUGGGUGGAAUGUUGUUGCGCUGGCUUAUACCACAUUGGAUGGUUCUUCUGCUACUAUUCUAGAGCCAGGGACGUAUUCUGGUCAAAUAACCAAUGAACCAGAUGAAGUGUCGCUUACCUGCAGUUGUACAUCUAAGCAAGGUGCAUCAGGUUCACCUCUUAUUUUGCCACGGAUAGACAGGGUAGUUGGGGUGCUUGCCGGAGCUUCACAUGCAUCGGUAUACGCUGUUCCUGUCACACAUAUAAGGGAGUUCUUAAUAGAGUGGCUUGGUGGAGACGAAGACCUGAACGAAGUACGAACUGCUGGGUUGGUUAUGCUUGUCGCAAAGGGCCAAUAG